GGUUUCUCAAGAAAAGAAUUUCAGUUCCGCCUAAAGCAAUUUAAAUCCCAAUAAAUUAUCCUAAGCCUUUAGAGUAAGUCAAAUAAGGUACAGCCUAUUCGACACAGAACUCAGCCUUUAACAACGGGUAAUACAAUUUCACCUUAUUAAGUGGGCCUAAUAGCAGCCACCUUUUAAAAAGCGUUAAAGCUUAAAAUUCACCCUAAUUCUUAAGCCAUUAUUGACCCCUUCAGCCCUAUUGAGAACUCCUAUAACCAUAUAGGACCUUUUAUGCUAAAACUAGUAACAAGAGGUUGUCCCUCUCUACAAUGUAAACCCAAGCCAGCUUGAACCCCUCACUGGCACCUAACAGACCUAAACUAAAGUAAUAACUCAUCUAGAAAACACUACUUUACCAUGCUGUUAACCUAACACAAGAACAUUUCAAGAAAGAUUAAAAGGAAGAGAAGGAACUCGGCAAACAUUAAACCCGCCUGUUUACCAAAAACAUCGCCUCUUGUCCCCCUUAUAAGAGGUCCAGCCUGCCCAGUGACUUGUUCAACGGCCGCGGUAUCCUAACCGUGCGAAGGUAGCGUAAUCACUUGUCUUCUAAAUAGAGACUAGUAUGAAAGGCAUCACGAGGAUUAAACUGUCUCCUCUCCCUAAUCAGUGAACCUAAUCUCCCCGUGAAGAAGCGGGGGUAGCCUUAUAAGAC
Molecule: ribosomal RNA, 694 nt
Filed under: Pristimantis cisnerosi
Lineage: Eukaryota; Metazoa; Chordata; Amphibia; Anura; Strabomantidae
Description: partial large subunit ribosomal RNA
Rfam family: Archaeal large subunit ribosomal RNA (bases 431-679)
Source: RNAcentral